This 339-nucleotide unclassified non-coding RNA is filed under the name soil metagenome. RNAcentral's name for it is "partial contains 5.8S ribosomal RNA, internal transcribed spacer 2, and large subunit ribosomal RNA". The stretch from base 1 to 120 matches the Rfam family "5.8S ribosomal RNA", at positions 35 to 154 of the family's 154-position model. The record is from RNAcentral.
GAUGAAGAACGUAGCGAAAUGCGAUACGUAGUGUGAAUUGCAGAAUUCAGUGAAUCAUCGAAUCUUUGAACGCACAUUGCACCUCUCGGUAUUCCGGGAGGUAUGCCUGUUCGAGCGUCAUUUGUACCCUCAAGCUCUGCUUGGUGUUGGGUGUUUGUUCCGCCUCUGUGUGUGAACUCGCCUCAAAGCAAUUGGCAGCCGGCGUACUUGUUUCGGAGCGCAGCACAUUUUGCGAUCCAGAUCAACGUACAGCGGCAUCCAAGAAGCCUUAUUUAACGCUCUUGACCUCGGAUCAGGUAGGGAUACCCGCUGAACUUAAGCAUAUCAAUAAGCGGAGGA